GAUGAACGCUGGCGGCGUGCCUAAUACAUGCAAGUCGAGCGAACGGACGAGAAGCUUGCUUUUCUGAUGUUAGCGGCGGACGGGUGAGUAACACGUGGAUAACCUACCUAUAAGACUGGGAUAACUUCGGGAAACCGGAGCUAAUACCGGAUAAUAUUUUGAACCGCAUGGUUCAAAAGUGAAAGACGGUCUUGCUGUCACUUAUAGAUGGAUCCGCGCUGCAUUAGCUAGUUGGUAAGGUAACGGCUUACCAAGGCAACGAUGCAUAGCCGACCUGAGAGGGUGAUCGGCCACACUGGAACUGAGCCACGGUCCAGACUCCUACGGGAGGCCGCAGUAGGGAAUCUUCCGCAAUGGGCGAAAGCCUGACGGAGCAACGCCGCGUGAGUGAUGAAGGUCUUCGGAUCGUAAAACUCUGUUAGUAGGGAAGAACAUAUGUGUAAGUAACUGUGCACAUCUUGACGGUACCUAAUCAGAAAGCCACGGCUAACUACGUG
This 497-nucleotide ribosomal RNA is filed under the name uncultured bacterium. Its description in RNAcentral is "partial 16S ribosomal RNA". It matches the Rfam family "Bacterial small subunit ribosomal RNA", at positions 28 to 507 of the family's 1533-position model. The record is from RNAcentral.